This 30-nucleotide non-coding RNA is filed under the name Mus musculus (house mouse). The record is from RNAcentral. Lineage: Eukaryota; Metazoa; Chordata; Mammalia; Rodentia; Muridae.
UUGUAUUUUAUAUAUUAGAAAUAAGAUGCC